This 282-nucleotide long non-coding RNA is filed under the name Elaeis guineensis (African oil palm). RNAcentral describes it as "long non-coding RNA (EGUI_LNC026092)". The record is from RNAcentral. Lineage: Eukaryota; Viridiplantae; Streptophyta; Magnoliopsida; Arecales; Arecaceae.
UCAUCCCUUAGGAAACCCAAGAGACCUUGAGUUCAGUUAAGGAAGAAAGAGAGAGAGAGAGAAACAGAGAAAAGAAGAGAAAGAGAGAGAGAGAACAAGAGAAAGAGGAAGAGAGAGACAGAUUUAAUCUUUUAAUGAAUCUAACCUAUUGAAUAGAUCCAAUUUGAUUGAGUCUAGGUCAAUUUGAUAGACCUGGCUUAGAAAUUGACCCAAACCUCGGCCUAGACCUGGGCUAGACUAAGAGUUUCUUUCUAUUCAUCUCAAUUUUUUAAUUUUCUCUGA